Molecule: ribosomal RNA, 2911 nt
Filed under: Enterococcus malodoratus ATCC 43197
Lineage: Bacteria; Bacillati; Bacillota; Bacilli; Lactobacillales; Enterococcaceae
Description: bacterial LSU rRNA
Rfam family: Bacterial large subunit ribosomal RNA
Source: RNAcentral
UUAAGUGAAUAAGGGCGCACGGUGGAUGCCUUGGCACUAGGAGCCGAUGAAGGACGGGACUAACACCGAUAUGCUUCGGGGAGCUGUAAGUAAGCUUUGAUCCGGAGAUUUCCGAAUGGGGAAACCCAGCAUCUUUUAUAGGAUGUUACUUUUCAGUGAAUACAUAGCUGAUUAGAGGUAGACGCAGAGAACUGAAACAUCUAAGUACCUGCAGGAAGAGAAAGAAAAUUCGAUUCCCUGAGUAGCGGCGAGCGAAACGGGAAAAGCCCAAACCAAGAGGCUUGCCUCUUGGGGUUGUAGGACUCCGAUAUGGUAGUCCAGUGAAAUAGUCGAAGGACCUGGAAAGGUCUGCUAGAAAGGGUAAAAGCCCCGUAGACAAAAUUUGACUGGCACCUAGGAGGAUCCUGAGUACGGCGGAACACGAGGAAUUCCGUCGGAAUCCGGGAGGACCAUCUCCCAAGGCUAAAUACUCCCUAGUGACCGAUAGUGAACCAGUACCGUGAGGGAAAGGUGAAAAGCACCCCGGAAGGGGAGUGAAAUAGAUCCUGAAACCGUGUGCCUACAACAAGUUAGAGCCCGUUAAUGGGUGAUAGCGUGCCUUUUGUAGAAUGAACCGGCGAGUUACGAUUACUUGCGAGGUUAAGUUGAAAAAACGGAGCCGUAGCGAAAGCGAGUCUGAAUAGGGCGAAUGAGUAAGUGGUCGUAGACCCGAAACCAUGUGAUCUACCCAUGUCCAGGUUGAAGGUGCGGUAAAACGCACUGGAGGACCGAACCCACGUACGUUGAAAAGUGCGGGGAUGAGGUGUGGGUAGCGGAGAAAUUCCAAACGAACUUGGAGAUAGCUGGUUCUCUCCGAAAUAGCUUUAGGGCUAGCCUCAGAGUAAGAAUGAUGGAGGUAGAGCACUGUUUGGACUAGGGGCCCAUCUCGGGUUACCGAAUUCAGAUAAACUCCGAAUGCCAUCCAUUCAUCUCUGGGAGUCAGACUGUGAGUGAUAAGAUCCAUAGUCGAAAGGGAAACAGCCCAGACCACCAGCUAAGGUCCCCAAAUAUAUGUUAAGUGGAAAAGGAUGUGGGGUUGCACAGACAACUAGGAUGUUGGCUUAGAAGCAGCCACCAUUUAAAGAGUGCGUAAUAGCUCACUAGUCGAGUGACCCUGCGCCGAAAAUGUACCGGGGCUAAACAUAUUACCGAAGCUGUGGAGCACACCAUUAGGUGUGUUGGUAGGAGAGCGUUCUAAGGGCGUUGAAGGUAGAUCGUGAGGACUGCUGGAGCGCUUAGAAGUGAGAAUGCCGGUAUGAGUAGCGAAAGACAGGUGAGAAUCCUGUCCACCGAAUGACUAAGGUUUCCUGGGGAAGGCUCGUCCGCCCAGGGUUAGUCGGGACCUAAGCCGAGGCCGAAAGGCGUAGGCGAUGGAUAACAGGUUGAUAUUCCUGUACCCGUUGUUUUUGUUUGAGCAAUGGAGGGACGCAGGAGGCUAAGGAAUCAGACGAUUGGAAAUGUCUGUCCAAGCAAUGAGUCUUGAUGUGAGUCAAAUGCUUGCAUCUCUAAGGACAAGUUGUGAUGAGGAGGGAAAUAAUAGUACCGAAGUUCCCGAUGUCACACUGCCGAGAAAAGCUUCUAGUAAGAAAACAAUGGCCCGUACCGCAAACCGACACAGGUAGUCGAGGAGAGAAUCCUAAGGUGAGCGAGAGAACUCUCGUUAAGGAACUCGGCAAAAUGACCCCGUAACUUCGGGAGAAGGGGUGCUGAUCUAACGAUCAGCCGCAGUGAAUAGGCCCAAGCGACUGUUUAUCAAAAACACAGGUCUCUGCAAAAUCGAAAGAUGACGUAUAGGGGCUGACGCCUGCCCGGUGCUGGAAGGUUAAGAGGAGUGCUUAGCGUAAGCGAAGGUACGAAUUGAAGCCCCAGUAAACGGCGGCCGUAACUAUAACGGUCCUAAGGUAGCGAAAUUCCUUGUCGGGUAAGUUCCGACCCGCACGAAAGGCGUAACGAUUUGGGCACUGUCUCAACGAGAGACUCGGUGAAAUUUUAGUACCUGUGAAGAUGCAGGUUACCCGCGACAGGACGGAAAGACCCCAUGGAGCUUUACUGCAGUUUGAUAUUGAGUGUUUGUACCACAUGUACAGGAUAGGUAGGAGCCUUAGAAGUCGGGACGCUAGUUUCGACAGAGGCGCUGGUGGGAUACUACCCCUGUGUUAUGACCACUCUAACCCGCACCACUAAUCGUGGUGGGAGACAGUGUCAGAUGGGCAGUUUGACUGGGGCGGUCGCCUCCUAAAGAGUAACGGAGGCGCCCAAAGGUUCCCUCAGAAUGGUUGGAAAUCAUUCGCAGAGUGUAAAGGCACAAGGGAGCUUGACUGCGAGACCUACAAGUCGAGCAGGGACGAAAGUCGGGCUUAGUGAUCCGGUGGUUCCGCAUGGAAGGGCCAUCGCUCAACGGAUAAAAGCUACCCUGGGGAUAACAGGCUUAUCUCCCCCAAGAGUCCACAUCGACGGGGAGGUUUGGCACCUCGAUGUCGGCUCGUCGCAUCCUGGGGCUGUAGUCGGUCCCAAGGGUUGGGCUGUUCGCCCAUUAAAGCGGCACGCGAGCUGGGUUCAGAACGUCGUGAGACAGUUCGGUCCCUAUCCGUCGCGGGCGUUGGAAAUUUGAGAGGAUCUGUCCUUAGUACGAGAGGACCGGGAUGGACUUACCGCUGGUGUACCAGUUGUCUCGCCAGAGGCAUCGCUGGGUAGCUAUGUAGGGAAGGGAUAAACGCUGAAAGCAUCUAAGUGUGAAGCCCACCUCAAGAUGAGAUUUCCCAUUUCUUUAAGAAAGUAAGAUCCCUGAGAGAUGAUCAGGUAGAUAGGUCAGGAGUGGAAGUGCAGUGAUGUACGGAGCGGACUGAUACUAAUCGAUCGAGGACUUAACCAA